Molecule: RNA transcript, 768 nt
Organism: Hipposideros armiger (great roundleaf bat)
Lineage: Eukaryota; Metazoa; Chordata; Mammalia; Chiroptera; Hipposideridae
Gene: NUPR2
Gene name: nuclear protein 2, transcriptional regulator
Exons: 2
Source: RefSeq, a predicted model, not a curated record
CCCCUCACAUGGAGCCAAUCGCAGCGCGGGGCUAGGCGGGCGGCCAGGCGGGCGGCCAGGCUGCCCGGCGAUGGACCUGGCCAUUCCGAGGACCCAGGCUCAGGCCCAACCGCCGCCACCCGAGGCGGUGAGCUCGGAGGAGGAGCUCUACGACUGCCUCGAUUACUGCUACCUGCGCGACUUCCCCGCCUGCGGGGCUGGACGCAGCAAGGGCCGGACUCGGCGCGAGCGGGAACUGCGCACCAACUGGCCGGUGCCUGGCGGCCACGAGCGCAAAAUCGCACAGAAGCUCCUCAACGGCCAACGCAAGCGCCGCCAGCGCCAGCUGCAGCCCCGGCCGCGCACUCGCCUCACCUGAACGCCGGUGCGUAAGGGCCGCGACCAGAGGGCCGUGGGAAGCUCCGUGAGCGCCGCGGGCCACCCCGAGCGCCGCUCCCCGUAGGCCUUCUGCUACUCUACCGGCGCAGAGUCGCCCCCUUUGGAGGCGGUCCCGCCUUAGCUACGUAGUCAUAACUGGACUCCCGCCCUCAGCUUGUCUCCUAACUGCGGAUACCCAAAAGACCUGAUAAAAAUAUUUUCUCUGACUCCAGACGUAACUGUGGUCCUAAGGGGGAGAGAAUCCAUGUUGGUCAACAAUUUCUUUUCCACAUCGCUUAAGUUUACUGCGUCAGUAUCUUUUCCUUAAUGACUGUUAAUUAAGUAACAUCCAAGUGCGUAUGCCGUUUUAGGGUUUUUAAUUAAAAGAGAACAGCAAGAAUGGCAUUUUAA